UAAUAAUAACGAGCAUCAAAUUCUAUGCCAAUAAUCUGACUGGUCUGCUUGUUGGUGACCAUCAACCAAGUUGCAGCCAAUGUAGCAGCCACUGUGACAGUCCUCAUGAAGAUUUGGACUCCAAGAAAAAUCUUUUGGGUUUUCAGAGGUGGGUUUUGCUGGAACUUGGAUUCUGUGCUUGUCAUGGUGAAAAUUUCUUGGGUUUUCAGAGGUGGGUUUCUGAGGAAGAACAAUUGCAGAAAACAAAGAACAGAUAAUAAGUGCUGAAGGG
Molecule: long non-coding RNA, 271 nt
Filed under: Malus domestica (apple)
Lineage: Eukaryota; Viridiplantae; Streptophyta; Magnoliopsida; Rosales; Rosaceae
Description: long non-coding RNA (MDOM_LNC014205)
Source: RNAcentral